CAAUAGCGUAUAUUUAAGUUGUUGCAGUUAAAAAGCUCGUAGUUGGAUUUCGGUUAAGAGCGACCGGUCCGCCGUUUGGUGUGCACUGGUUGGUUUUAACUUCCUGUAGAGGACGUGCUCUGGGUUUAACGACCUGGACUCGGAGUCUACGUGGUUACUUUGAAAAAAUUAGAGUGUUCAAAGCGGGCUUACGCUUGAAUAUUUCAGCAUGGAAUAACACUAUAGGACUUCUGUCCUAUUUCGUUGGUCUCGGGACGGGAGUAAUGAUUAAGAGGAACAGUUGGGGGCAUUCGUAUUUCAUUGUCAGAGGUGAAAUUCUUGGAUUUAUGAAAGACGAACUUCUGCGAAAGCAUUUGCCAAGGAUGUUUUCAUUAA
This 375-nucleotide ribosomal RNA is filed under the name uncultured eukaryote. Its description in RNAcentral is "partial 18S ribosomal RNA". It matches the Rfam family "Eukaryotic small subunit ribosomal RNA", at positions 592 to 976 of the family's 1831-position model. The record is from RNAcentral.